UCUCACUGCUACAAGUAAGUGGCUGAAUUCUAAUUUGAAUUUGUCUAACUUCUGCCGCUGGUUCUUGUUAUGACUUUCCUGACAAGAUUAGAGCCCUUUAGUAUCCAGUGCUUUCUUGCCAUGGAGGUACUUACACUCUGUAAUCACGUUAGUCAAUUGAUAAGGAAACAGAGUUGAGCUUUUAAGUCUCACUCUGAGGCAUUUUCUCCAGCACUCAGAUCAUCCGGUGAUUCUUCAUGGUCUCCAUUUAUUUUUAACAUAGUGGAAACCAAACAUGGUAAAUGUUUCAGUCUGCCUCUUAUCCACGCAGACUAUCAAGGUGCAGUGACCCUUUAUACUACGCAGCUGUUAAAAAGGUUUGUAGGACCCCUUUUCAUGGGGAAAUCCUGCUCUGACCCUGAGGUUCUUCCUAGCGAAGUCUGCCGCUUAGCAGUUAUGGUUUGCAUUUCUUAGUUUACAAAUUUGCCUUUGUUUUCAGAUAUGUUUUGCUUUUCUGGGCACAGUUAAAGCAGAUAUUCAGACCUCUUUCUUUCGCUGCCCUUUCCUCAUAGUGAUGUACUGUUCUCAUAGGCAUGGUGAUGGACACAGAUUUCUAUCUGCAGUGAAAAAUGUUGAACUGCAUCAGACUUUAAAUUUAGUGACAAAAAAAUUGACGUGGUGCAGUACCAGGGAGUACAUGAAGAAUGCUAACGGGCAGCUCUCAGGAAGCACCAGUCAAUAUGGAGCAGCCGACGUGGAUCUCCGCUAGAACCAAAGUACGCUCUGUGCACAUAAUUCAUUCUUUCUGACUACAUUUGUAAUCUCAAGGAAUGAAGUUAGCCUUUUAUCGAGGCAUUUUUUCCACGAGUACAUGCUGACUGGCAUUACUGCUGUCCCUGUUCUCUAAAUCUUUAGCGAGAUAAUCUUUUUUCUGUUGGCUUGCCUGGGCUGGCACACUGCUGGCCACUGCACAGCGCUCUGGGUUUGCUCCAUGCCCUUUUUGAGCAUCAGCAUAAUGUGAGCAUCCAUCCUGAGUGGUGGGUUCCCUCAUUAAUCCCUCAUUUAAAAAAAAAUUGAUUGGUAAGAGGAACAUCCUAUGGUGUUUUAUUCCUGAAUGUCCACAAGUACAAAAGUGGAGUGCUUCUGGGGAGGCCACAGUGCAUCUCUGGCAGAUUGCACAGCUGGGUGGGAGCAGAGAACUUCCUAACCCUUACAGGUGCCUACUUUGGGAGACACUUGUGAGUUAGCCCUCAGUUCAUUCCAUGGGCAGAAUUCUGAUAAAUGUUGAUGUCACCUUGUCACACUCAAGUCAAUUCUGUUUUAUUUGUAGCAAUAUGCCUUGUUACUUUUUGUUCAAAACGCAGCUGCCUUCACUUGGCUGUUCCUUUGAAUUCCCUCUUCCUAUGCCAAACUGAUUUAGCCUUUACUCCCUCCAUGUUGCAGCUGUAAUCAGCACUGCACGUGAAUGUCUCUUUCUGGUAGAGAGGCAGUAUUUAUGUUGUUGAUUUUUAGGAUGCUGUGUCAUAGAGAAUCCUGAAACCAAACCUGGUUUAAAUACCAUUGUCAGUAACAAGUGAUGUAGGUAGCUUUGUUGUUGCUGGCUUUCCUUUUUCUUUUGUUUCUUUUCUUUAAAGGUAUGUGAAAGGACUUGCUCCAUUGAAAAGCAUCUGUUUCGAAACAUGCAGUCCAAUCAGCUAAAAUGCAGUGAGGUCAGGCGCAUAUCUGAAGUUUGGGAUGUCUGCUUCCUCUCUGGCGAUUGGGUGGGAAAUCUGCCAGGGAGAUAGGCUUUGAAAAAAGGUUUGGAAGGGGCAUGAAAGGGAGAACUGAGGCACAACGUUUUGGAGGCUGGAAGAGGUGCUUUAAAAGAGCCGUGCUGUUUUACUGUUUGAAAUCUGAGGUGCGGCCCAGUGGAAGUUUAAGACAAGUAAUAGAGACUCAAAAAUGUGUGCUGUUUUGUGGGACAUGAAUAUUUCUUACAGUGCGAGCCUCUGAGCUCAGCCAGCAGCUUUCCUGCCUCCUCACUAACUCGGUAUCUGAUUUUUCUGUUCCUCUGCUGUCUUCUUGCAGGAGUUGUUUAUUGACUGAAAUUGUUUCCAUAUGGCUGCAAUGUAGAGCUUGAUUACAUUAAAUGUGGCGCUUUCCUGUGGCAUUGCAGUGCUAUGAGAAGCUCAUCCCGCUUUUUUUCUCCUUCCAACCUCCCUUUCUUCCAUAGAAUUUUGUUUUCGGAAUGUGGAACUUGCUAGGUAUUAUCUUCCCUGCUCUGAGGCUUGUAUAACUGGAAAGCUGGGAUCCAGUUCUUUUUUCGGUCUUCAUACUUGAUUGCCUAGUGGAUUUGAACAGCAUCUAGGCAAUGUAGUUUUACUUUGGGUGUCACAAACAAAGUGAAGGCAGUGGAGUGAUGGGAGUCACCGUUGG
This 2394-nucleotide long non-coding RNA is filed under the name Gallus gallus (chicken). Lineage: Eukaryota; Metazoa; Chordata; Aves; Galliformes; Phasianidae. The record is from RNAcentral.